Long non-coding RNA from Lolium rigidum, 491 nucleotides. RefSeq lists it as uncharacterized. The transcript has 3 exons. The record is from RefSeq and is a predicted model, not a curated record. Lineage: Eukaryota; Viridiplantae; Streptophyta; Magnoliopsida; Poales; Poaceae.
GGUUGAUUCGAUUCCAUUUUAUACAAGUAUAUGAAGCAAAGGAACAAUGGACGAUAUGAAGCAGCAACGGAAGGAAGAGGUGAACCUACAUAUCAGCUCUUGGAAUUGCAUCGGCAUCAACAUCCAUGUGUUCAAGGAGUUGAUAUCUGCAUGGAACCUCGGCCCUGGAGAUCGAUUGGUACGAGGAGCAGGUGUUGGUCGCCAUUGCGACACUUGUGCUGGUCGGGCAAUCUGGCACUGUUGGCAUAUACCCAGUAUAUUGAUGUGUCCUCCAAAUAUUGAUGCUUUCCUGGUUGGGAGUACCAUUCGGAGAUGAAGGUACCAGUUUAUUCAACCAUAUAAUAGAAGUAUGUUUGGCAUUUAGCCUUUUUUUUGUUACUUGAUAGAGUGUGGUUACCUACGUAUUGGUAAUCUAUUUUUUAAAACAAGCUUAUAGAAUGGAAGAUAUGAAUAUCUAUGUGUCGCAGUUUACUGAACCCAUUGAAAUUCUA